CCUCAGCAGCUGCCUCCAGAGGUGAGAGUUGUCAGCUAACAGAUGGGAAACAGCUGGCUCCUUCCUGCCCCUCGUGGUCUCCCCAGCUUCUGAGCCCACACACAACUGCAAAAGCCACCGCACCCCCUUCCGACAGAGCGGGUCGAACUGAAAAUUAUUCCAGCUGCGUGUAUCUCCACAUUGCCUAGCAGAGCGCUGCUCCAGCCAAUCAGACACUCUCCAUCUGCAGUUCCUCCCAGCAACACACCACAUUUCUGCCUCCGAGCUUCAGAGAAUCUGGACCCAAGUGUGACCAAGUGUGACCGUGGCAAAGCCGUAUUCCGUCAGCUGGGGAAAGAAGAGAAGACACUGAAAGUUCACAGGUUCCACCAAAGAUUCUGCAGUAAGAACCCUGCUGAAGAGCAGAGCAGCCUGGGGGAAGGGAAGAGGGCCCUGCCUUGGUAAUCAGUCAUGGCUAUGGACAACCUGGGACUCACCAAGGGAGGAGGAGGAGGAGCUGCUCUUGACCAGCACUGGAGAUGCAGAGACCCAGUUUGCUCCGGGCCAGUGGGAGCAAGACUAACAGGACCAUGCACCAGAGUAGCUGGGGGCGAACUGCCUUCUGGCCAGCACCAGGGACAUCCUGACCAAUCGUCCAGACACCCAGCCGAAGAAGGGUCCGAGCUUGCCUGACCUCCAAGUUCGUUUCCCUUGCCUUCUCAGCCCCACCUCCAAAGCGCUCAGCUUUGGCCUUAUAAGGCUGGACACUACAUACAAGUGCCUAAGCGGCAAACAUCAUUGGAAUGUAUUCUUUUGUUCUCUGAAUCCUGUAUGCUCAGUAAAUCUGCAGUUCAGAAGGCGCCAGAGGCAUGAUUUUCCCUGGCUAUACUGAUGGCCGUUUCCGACCAUCACACUGCCUUCUCCAUUGUUAGGGUUGAAGUAAAUACCAAAUGCUACUCAACGGAGAAAGAAUUCUAGAAACCUAAGAGACAGAAACUAAUACUCACCCCUUCGUCCAUCAGAAAGAGCUGAGAACAGCUUCAUGCGAGAACACAUAGCUCUCUUGAAGACCCCUGGACGGAGCCUUGUCAUAACCUAUCACAAUGUAGACCAGCCUUCAGUGCAUUGUCUACCAAGUGUGAGGACCUAGGUUCA
Molecule: long non-coding RNA, 1134 nt
Organism: Peromyscus leucopus (white-footed mouse)
Lineage: Eukaryota; Metazoa; Chordata; Mammalia; Rodentia; Cricetidae
Exons: 3
Source: RefSeq, a predicted model, not a curated record